AUGAAGAACGCAGCGAAAUGCGAUAAGUAGUGUGAAUUGCAGAAUUCAGUGAAUCAUCGAAUCUUUGAACGCACAUUGCGCCCCCUGGUAUUCCGGGGGGCAUGCCUGUUCGAGCGUCAUUACAACCCUCAAGCUCUGCUUGGUAUUGGGCCCCGCCAGUUCUGGCGGGCCCUAAAGUCAGUGGCGGUGCCUUCCGGCUCCGAGCGUAGUAAUUCUUCUCGCUCUGGAGACCCGGUUGUGUGCUUGCCAACAACCCCCAAUUUUUUAAGGUUGACCUCGGAUCAGGUAGGGAUACCCGCUGAACUUAAGCAUAUCAAUAAGCGGAGGA
This 328-nucleotide unclassified non-coding RNA is filed under the name soil metagenome. RNAcentral's name for it is "partial contains 5.8S ribosomal RNA, internal transcribed spacer 2, and large subunit ribosomal RNA". The stretch from base 1 to 119 matches the Rfam family "5.8S ribosomal RNA", at positions 36 to 154 of the family's 154-position model. The record is from RNAcentral.